RNAcentral lists this ribosomal RNA (449 nucleotides) under uncultured bacterium. RNAcentral's name for it is "partial 16S ribosomal RNA". It matches the Rfam family "Bacterial small subunit ribosomal RNA", at positions 29 to 523 of the family's 1533-position model. The record is from RNAcentral.
AGCGAACGCUGGCGGCAGGCUUAACACAUGCAAGUCGAACGCAUCCUUCGGGGUGAGUGGCAGACGGGUGAGUAACACGUGGGAACGUACCUCUUUGUUCGGAAUAGCUUUUGGAAACGAAAGGUAAUACCGGAUACGCCCUUUUGGGGAAAGAUUUAUCGCAGAGAGAUCGGCCCGCGUCUGAUUAGCUAGUUGGUGAGGUAAUGGCUCACCAAGGCGACGAUCAGUAGCUGGUCUGAGAGGAUGAUCAGCCACACUGGGACUGAGACACGGCCCAGCCUCCUACGGGAGGCAGCAGUGUGGAAUAUUGCACAAUGGGCGCAAGCCUGUUCCAGCCAUGCCGCGUGAGUGAUGAAGGCCUUAGGGUUGUAAAGCUCUUUUGUCCGGGAAGAUAAUGACUGUACCGGAAGAAUAAGCCCCGGCUAACUUCGUGCCAGCCGCCGCCGUAA